RNAcentral lists this ribosomal RNA (1477 nucleotides) under uncultured Bordetella sp. RNAcentral describes it as "partial 16S-23S ribosomal RNA intergenic spacer". It matches the Rfam family "Bacterial small subunit ribosomal RNA". Lineage: Bacteria; Pseudomonadati; Pseudomonadota; Betaproteobacteria; Burkholderiales; Alcaligenaceae. The record is from RNAcentral.
AGUUUGGAUUCUGGCUCAGAUUGAACGCUGGCGGAUGCUUUACACAUGCAAGUCUGAACGGCAGCACGGACUCUGGUCUGGUGGCGAGUGGCGAACGGUGAGUAAUGGUCAAACGUAUUUCAGUAGCGGGGGAUAACUACGCGAAAGCGUGGAAGCAUACUGCAUAUUGCCCUUCGGGGGAAGUGGUAUCCUCGGGCCUCGCAGCACUAUUAGAGCGGCCGAUAUCGGAUUAGCUAGUUGCGGCAACGGCUCACCAAGGCGACGAUCCGUAGCUGGUUUGAGAGGACAUCUGCGCCACACUGGGAUCUCGAGACACGGCCCAUUCCUACGGGAGGCAGCAGUGGACUUUGGGAUACCAGCUGGGGGAAAACCUGAUCCAGCCAUCCGCGUGUGCGAUGCGAAGGCCUUCGGGUUGUAAAGCACUUUUGGCAGGAAGAAACGGCACGGAUAAUACUCCCGUGCAACUGACGGUACCUGCAGAAUAAGCACCGCUGUCCUACGUGCCAGCAGCCGGUAAUGUAGGUGCAAGCGUUAAUCGUGGAAUUACGCUGGGCGGGGCGCGUGCGCAGGCGGUUCGGAAAGAAAGAUGCGAAAUCCCAGAGCUUAACUUUGGAACUGCAUUUUUAACUACCGCCGAGCUAGAGUGUGUCAGAGGGAGGUGGAAUUCCGCGUGUAGCAGAAAUGCGUAGAUAUGGAGGAACACCGGAUGGCGAAGGCAGCCUCCUGGGAUAACACUGACGCUCAUGCACGAAAGCGUGGGGAGCAACAGGAUUAGAUACCUCUGUAGUCCACGCCCUAAACGAUGUCAACUAGCUGUUGGGUUUCGGCCUUGGUAGCGCAGCUAACGUGAAGUUGGACCGCCCGGGGAGUACGGUCGCAAGAUUACAAACUCAAAGGAAUUGACGGGACCCGCACAAGCGGUGGAUGAUGUGGAUUAAUCGAUGCAACGCGAAAAACCUUACCACCCUUGACAUGUCUGGAAUCCCGGAAGAGAUUUGGGAGUGCUCUUCGCAAGAGAACUCGGAACACAGGCGCGUAUGGCUGUCGUCAGCUCGUGUCGAGAUGCUGGGUUAAGUCCUGCAACGAGCGCAACCCUUGUCAUUAGUUGUUACGGAAAGGGCAGACUUUAAUGAGACUGCUGCGGCUAAACCGGAGAGGUGGGGAUGAUGUCAAGUCCUCAUGGCCUUGGCGGUAGGGCUUCACACGUCAUACAAUGGUCGGGACAGUGGUCGCCAACCCGCGAGGGGAGCCAAUCCCAGAAACCCGAUCGUAGUCCGAUCGCAGUCUGCAACUCGACUGCGUGAAGUCGGAAUCGCCAGUAACGAUCAGCAUGUCGGGUGGUGAUACGUUCCCGGGUCUUGUGCCACACUGCCCGUCACACCAUGGGAGGGCUUUACCAGGCGGUUAGUCUAACCGUGAAGGAGGGCGAUUACCAUGUAGGAUUCAUGACUUCGGGGUGAAGUCGUACUGCUGGUAG